RNAcentral lists this ribosomal RNA (197 nucleotides) under uncultured fungus. RNAcentral describes it as "partial 18S ribosomal RNA". It matches the Rfam family "Eukaryotic small subunit ribosomal RNA", at positions 555 to 755 of the family's 1831-position model. The record is from RNAcentral. Lineage: Eukaryota; Fungi.
GCAAGUCUGGUGCCAGCAGCCGCGGUAAUUCCAGCUCCAAUAGCGUAUAUUAAAGUUGCUGCAUUAAAACGCUCGUAGCUGAACCUUGGCCCUGGUCGACCGGUCCGCCUAACGGUGUGCACUGGCUUGACCGGGGCUUUCUUUCUGGCUAGCCUGUAUGGUAUUUAUUUAUCGUGCAGGGGAACCAGGACUUUUAC